This 132-nucleotide small RNA is filed under the name uncultured Faecalimonas sp. RNAcentral describes it as "Ribosomal protein L10 leader". It matches the Rfam family "Ribosomal protein L10 leader", at positions 10 to 132 of the family's 138-position model. Rfam says of the family: This family is a putative r-protein leader autoregulatory structure found in B. subtilis and other low-GC Gram-positive bacteria. Lineage: Bacteria; Bacillati; Bacillota; Clostridia; Lachnospirales; Lachnospiraceae. The record is from RNAcentral.
GAAUUAACUGCCGAAGACAGUAGGUGCUGUAAAGCAUAAGUUAGAAAACGCCUACCGAGGAGAUUGAAAUUCGAACUAUUAAUUUGAAUUUGUGAAACCUCUUUGUCUUGACGGAUAAGGAGGUUUUUUAAU